CGUAGGCAACAGAAGACUACCCACAGCUAAUAUAGCAGCAACAACGAUGUCAGUGAUAUUUCCACCAAAGGCGUCAGAUGACGGCGAUUUACUUGACACAGCAGAUGGCGUCAUGACGCCAAUUGACAGCUCGACACUUCACGAACGGGAGAGUGAGUGGUGUUGCUGUAAACCGUCAAGUAAUUACCCUUCCAAGAGUAUGCCUGUGUCAUCAGGAGAUCCCAGACGUGAGAGCCAAACUUGCGGAGGCUGAAGCACUGACAGGGGCAUGAAUUUCAUUAAAAAAUUAAAACCAUAAAUUGUUAACAACAUUGACACAUUUUGUUGACUGUUUAAUGUAUUCUAUUGGUAUAUAAUAUAUUGUAAUUAUAUU
Corythoichthys intestinalis (scribbled pipefish) is the source of this 373-nucleotide long non-coding RNA. RefSeq lists it as uncharacterized. NCBI's taxonomy places the organism in Eukaryota, Metazoa, Chordata, Actinopteri, Syngnathiformes, Syngnathidae. The transcript has 3 exons. The record is from RefSeq and is a predicted model, not a curated record.